GGGCACUCUAAUGAAGACUGCCGGGUGACAAACCGGAGGAAGGUGGGGAUGACGUCAAGUCCUCAUGGCCCUUAUGGGUAGGGCUUCACACGUCAUACAAUGGUCGGUACAGAGGGUUGCCAACCCGCGAGGGGGAGCUAAUCCCACAAAGCCGAUCGUAGUCCGGAUCGCAGUCUGCAACUCGACUGCGUGAAGUCGGAAUCGCUAGUAAUCGUGGAUCAGCAUGUCACGGUGAAUACGUUCCCGGGUCUU
This 252-nucleotide ribosomal RNA is filed under the name uncultured Rhodocyclaceae bacterium. RNAcentral's name for it is "partial 16S ribosomal RNA". It matches the Rfam family "Bacterial small subunit ribosomal RNA", at positions 1133 to 1382 of the family's 1533-position model. The record is from RNAcentral. Lineage: Bacteria; Pseudomonadati; Pseudomonadota; Betaproteobacteria; Rhodocyclales; Rhodocyclaceae.